CCGUCGGCCAUAGUUGGCCCCUGCCAUGGCAGCGCCACCCAAGCAGCCCGAGCCCACCGGCUAUCCCCCUGUACGAAUGUUGUGUUCGUACGUUUUCCCCGGAUCCCUGCUGCCAUCACCAUGCAGCCCCUCGCCACUGUCGCCGGAGUUAUCCGUGGCCACUGUGGGCCCUGGAGCCGCAUUGUAGCUCCCAAGAUCCCA
Molecule: long non-coding RNA, 201 nt
Filed under: Hordeum vulgare
Lineage: Eukaryota; Viridiplantae; Streptophyta; Magnoliopsida; Poales; Poaceae
Description: long non-coding RNA (HVUL_LNC018900)
Source: RNAcentral